RNAcentral lists this unclassified non-coding RNA (240 nucleotides) under soil metagenome. Its description in RNAcentral is "partial contains 5.8S ribosomal RNA, internal transcribed spacer 2, and large subunit ribosomal RNA". The record is from RNAcentral.
AACCUUAUGGACCUGCGGGCGUAUACCUGCGGAAGGAUCAUUACCGAGUCUUCGUACUCAAAACAACCCUUCUGUGGACCUGAAUAAAACCGUUGCCUCGGCAGGCGGCCCUACCUACGGGCCAGAUAGUUCGGCUGCCUCCAGGGAGGAAACCCUCCCUGAGGUGCUGGCGCCAGCCGCUGGCCCCAAACCAAAACUCUAGUAACUUUUACCUUCUGAGUUUUAAUGCAAGAAAUAAGU